RNAcentral lists this ribosomal RNA (2921 nucleotides) under Staphylococcus aureus M0062. RNAcentral describes it as "bacterial LSU rRNA". It matches the Rfam family "Bacterial large subunit ribosomal RNA". Lineage: Bacteria; Bacillati; Bacillota; Bacilli; Caryophanales; Staphylococcaceae. The record is from RNAcentral. RNAcentral also lists the same sequence under 3 other names.
UUAAGUUAUUAAGGGCGCACGGUGGAUGCCUUGGCACUAGAAGCCGAUGAAGGACGUUACUAACGACGAUAUGCUUUGGGGAGCUGUAAGUAAGCUUUGAUCCAGAGAUUUCCGAAUGGGGAAACCCAGCAUGAGUUAUGUCAUGUUAUCGAUAUGUGAAUACAUAGCAUAUCAGAAGGCACACCCGGAGAACUGAAACAUCUUAGUACCCGGAGGAAGAGAAAGAAAAUUCGAUUCCCUUAGUAGCGGCGAGCGAAACGGGAAGAGCCCAAACCAAAAAGCUUGCUUGUUGGGGUUGUAGGACACUCUAUACGGAGUUACAAAGGACGACAUUAGACGAAUCAUCUGGAAAGAUGAAUCAAAGAAGGUAAUAAUCCUGUAGUCGAAAAUGUUGUCUCUCUUGAGUGGAUCCUGAGUACGACGGAGCACGUGAAAUUCCGUCGGAAUCUGGGAGGACCAUCUCCUAAGGCUAAAUACUCUCUAGUGACCGAUAGUGAACCAGUACCGUGAGGGAAAGGUGAAAAGCACCCCGGAAGGGGAGUGAAAUAGAACCUGAAACCGUGUGCUUACAAGUAGUCAGAGCCCGUUAAUGGGUGAUGGCGUGCCUUUUGUAGAAUGAACCGGCGAGUUACGAUUUGAUGCAAGGUUAAGCAGUAAAUGUGGAGCCGUAGCGAAAGCGAGUCUGAAUAGGGCGUUUAGUAUUUGGUCGUAGACCCGAAACCAGGUGAUCUACCCUUGGUCAGGUUGAAGUUCAGGUAACACUGAAUGGAGGACCGAACCGACUUACGUUGAAAAGUGAGCGGAUGAACUGAGGGUAGCGGAGAAAUUCCAAUCGAACCUGGAGAUAGCUGGUUCUCUCCGAAAUAGCUUUAGGGCUAGCCUCAAGUGAUGAUUAUUGGAGGUAGAGCACUGUUUGGACGAGGGGCCCCUCUCGGGUUACCGAAUUCAGACAAACUCCGAAUGCCAAUUAAUUUAACUUGGGAGUCAGAACAUGGGUGAUAAGGUCCGUGUUCGAAAGGGAAACAGCCCAGACCACCAGCUAAGGUCCCAAAAUAUAUGUUAAGUGGAAAAGGAUGUGGCGUUGCCCAGACAACUAGGAUGUUGGCUUAGAAGCAGCCAUCAUUUAAAGAGUGCGUAAUAGCUCACUAGUCGAGUGACACUGCGCCGAAAAUGUACCGGGGCUAAACAUAUUACCGAAGCUGUGGAUUGUCCUUUGGACAAUGGUAGGAGAGCGUUCUAAGGGCGUUGAAGCAUGAUCGUAAGGACAUGUGGAGCGCUUAGAAGUGAGAAUGCCGGUGUGAGUAGCGAAAGACGGGUGAGAAUCCCGUCCACCGAUUGACUAAGGUUUCCAGAGGAAGGCUCGUCCGCUCUGGGUUAGUCGGGUCCUAAGCUGAGGCCGACAGGCGUAGGCGAUGGAUAACAGGUUGAUAUUCCUGUACCACCUAUAAUCGUUUUAAUCGAUGGGGGGACGCAGUAGGAUAGGCGAAGCGUGCGAUUGGAUUGCACGUCUAAGCAGUAAGGCUGAGUAUUAGGCAAAUCCGGUACUCGUUAAGGCUGAGCUGUGAUGGGGAGAAGACAUUGAGUCUUCGAGUCGUUGAUUUCACACUGCCGAGAAAAGCCUCUAGAUAGAAAAUAGGUGCCCGUACCGCAAACCGACACAGGUAGUCAAGAUGAGAAUUCUAAGGUGAGCGAGCGAACUCUCGUUAAGGAACUCGGCAAAAUGACCCCGUAACUUCGGGAGAAGGGGUGCUCUUUAGGGUUAACGCCCAGAAGAGCCGCAGUGAAUAGGCCCAAGCGACUGUUUAUCAAAAACACAGGUCUCUGCUAAACCGUAAGGUGAUGUAUAGGGGCUGACGCCUGCCCGGUGCUGGAAGGUUAAGAGGAGUGGUUAGCUUCUGCGAAGCUACGAAUCGAAGCCCCAGUAAACGGCGGCCGUAACUAUAACGGUCCUAAGGUAGCGAAAUUCCUUGUCGGGUAAGUUCCGACCCGCACGAAAGGCGUAACGAUUUGGGCACUGUCUCAACGAGAGACUCGGUGAAAUCAUAGUACCUGUGAAGAUGCAGGUUACCCGCGACAGGACGGAAAGACCCCGUGGAGCUUUACUGUAGCCUGAUAUUGAAAUUCGGCACAGCUUGUACAGGAUAGGUAGGAGCCUUUGAAACGUGAGCGCUAGCUUACGUGGAGGCGCUGGUGGGAUACUACCCUAGCUGUGUUGGCUUUCUAACCCGCACCACUUAUCGUGGUGGGAGACAGUGUCAAGCGGGCAGUUUGACUGGGGCGGUCGCCUCCUAAAAGGUAACGGAGGCGCUCAAAGGUUCCCUCAGAAUGGUUGGAAAUCAUUCAUAGAGUGUAAAGGCAUAAGGGAGCUUGACUGCGAGACCUAUAAGUCGAGCAGGGUCGAAAGACGGACUUAGUGAUCCGGUGGUUCCGCAUGGAAGGGCCAUCGCUCAACGGAUAAAAGCUACCCCGGGGAUAACAGGCUUAUCUCCCCCAAGAGUUCACAUCGACGGGGAGGUUUGGCACCUCGAUGUCGGCUCAUCGCAUCCUGGGGCUGUAGUCGGUCCCAAGGGUUGGGCUGUUCGCCCAUUAAAGCGGUACGCGAGCUGGGUUCAGAACGUCGUGAGACAGUUCGGUCCCUAUCCGUCGUGGGCGUAGGAAAUUUGAGAGGAGCUGUCCUUAGUACGAGAGGACCGGGAUGGACAUACCUCUGGUGUACCAGUUGUCGUGCCAACGGCAUAGCUGGGUAGCUAUGUGUGGACGGGAUAAGUGCUGAAAGCAUCUAAGCAUGAAGCCCCCCUCAAGAUGAGAUUUCCCAACUUCGGUUAUAAGAUCCCUCAAAGAUGAUGAGGUUAAUAGGUUCGAGGUGGAAGCAUGGUGACAUGUGGAGCUGACGAAUACUAAUCGAUCGAAGACUUAAUCAA